This 465-nucleotide ribosomal RNA is filed under the name uncultured bacterium. RNAcentral describes it as "partial 16S ribosomal RNA". It matches the Rfam family "Bacterial small subunit ribosomal RNA", at positions 28 to 507 of the family's 1533-position model. The record is from RNAcentral.
GACGAACGCUGGCGGCGUGCUUAACACAUGCAAGUCGAACGGAAAGGCCCUGCUUGCAGGGUACUCGAGUGGCGAACGGGUGAGUAACACGUGGGUGAUCUGCCCUGCACUUCGGGAUAAGCCUGGGAAACUGGGUCUAAUACCGGGUAGGAGCCAUUUUUAGUGUGAUGGUUGGAAAGUUUUUUCGGUGUAGGAUGAGCUCGCGGCCUAUCAGCUUGUUGGUGGGGUAAUGGCCUACCAAGGCGGCGACGGGUAGCCGGCCUGAGAGGGUGGACGGCCACAUUGGGACUGAGAUACGGCCCAGACUCCUACGGGAGGCAGCAGUGGGGAAUAUUGCACAAUGGGCGCAAGCCUGAUGCAGCGACGCCGCGUGGGGGAUGACGGCCUUCGGGUUGGAAACUCCUUUCGCUAGGGACGAAGCUUUUUGUGACGGUACCUAGAGAAGAAGCACCGGCUAACUACGUG